This 2803-nucleotide long non-coding RNA is filed under the name Nicotiana benthamiana. RNAcentral's name for it is "long non-coding RNA (NBEN_LNC036800)". Lineage: Eukaryota; Viridiplantae; Streptophyta; Magnoliopsida; Solanales; Solanaceae. The record is from RNAcentral.
UCCAAAACACUCUUAUUUGAGUUCAAAGUUCUUCAAACAAGCUCUAAUGUCCACACUCAGUUUAAGGUUUACAAAAUAUUGUAGAAAAAUAUAAAAAAUGCUUAGGAAACUUGUAUUACAUCAACAGAUUUCAUUUAAAUGCAAAAUUCUAAGAUUCGAACAAGCUGGCAGGUUCGCUACUCCAUUGCUUCUCAAAACUCAGAACUUCAGCAACAGCUUGAGCACUAAAUUCAGCAGCAGUAGGCACAGGAAUUUUCAGCUCAGAACGACGACCUCAAUAGUAGAAAUAAAGCAUUGGAAUCACAGUAAUAUUGAGUCAGAAUAACCACUAAGUACAGCUGAAUAGUGCAGGAUCUGCUUUCAAGAAAAAAACAGCUCAAAACUUGCAUUUCAAUAGUGUAUUGUUGGCAUAUAAACUGAAGCAACGCAAUUGAGUUAAUUGAAACCAAACCUUUUGCAAAAUUACCUCAACUGUUAUGAAAAAAAUAGUAACAACAAUCAAUUAAAGAAAUGUGUAAAUCUCCAUCGUUGAGCGAAAAAUGAACAAUGCAGGGCUGUAGACAGCAGCAACAAUCAAUUAAAGAAAUGUGUAAAUCUUCAUUGUUGAGCAAAAAUGAACAAUGUAGGGCUGUGGACAGCAAGUUGAAAUCCUUUACAACGACAGAAAACAAGCAGCAAAUUAUUUUCAAGCAAACAUACAACUUUUGUCAGCAGAUUCUAACCAAUUGGACAAUAAUUUAUGUAACAAGAGAACUCAAUUCAUCAAGGAGAACAUUUUAGAAGUAAAAACCAGAUUUCAAACUAUCUCUGCGAAACUUGAGCACAAUCUCAACUAACAUAAAUUUCCAACAGAUUUAGCUUACUGUAUGUUCAACCAAAUAACAAUUCAAGCAAGCUCAAUCUCUAGUCCCACAUAAUCCCCUCUAUUAUACUCAACAAUAAUAACAACUAUUAGAAAUCAGUGGUAACAAGUUCAAACUAGGAGAAUUUCAGCUAUCAAUUUACUCCAAAAACAUCACAAAAGGGACAAACUUCAAUAAGACAAACUUCAGAACUCCAUAGUCUUAGCACAAAGAUAAUUGGUAUUUAGUGCAGGAUUUUCUUUCAAACAUUGGCCCAUGAAAAAUUCAUAGAUUGAAUUAAAAUCAACAAACAAAGAAUGAUCUCAACAGAACUUUCGCCAGCAUAAAAGAAGUUUGACAAGAGAAUUCCAACUUGAACUCUAAGAAUUUCAAUAGUAGAGUCCAUUGAAACAACUCAAUUCAAACAAUUUUCAACGAACAACUUCUGAAUUCUAAAACUAACAUAUGUGGCUAAAAGUGGAUAGAAGUACAAUAUUUGGCUAUGAUCCCGCAAAGCCGAGAACCUAAGAUUUACUAGGAAGACCGGACCAUAUGAGGGUUGCCUACGUAUCACGCUCUGAAAGACGAGAAUCAGGUUUGCGUAGUUCGGACAGAUUGAAUGCGGGCAAGAAACAAAAAAUACACCUAAUUUUUAAAGAAAAUAUUUUCUUUUGUAUCUUAUGAAAAGAACAACAAGAGAUGCGAAUUUCCAGCAAUUGAAAUGCCAUUAAGACUCUCGAUUUUCAAGUUAGUGAUUAUAUACCCAAAUUCUCAUUCUAACACAGAUUUAAAAAAACAUACAUAAAUGCUCAAACUCAUAAUACCAACUAUAACUAAUAAUAUAUAAAACUCAAAGCAGACACGCAUGUAAAACAUUAAAGCAACAGUGACAUGGAUAGUGACAUAAAUCGGAAAUACUUGAAUCAUAGAGAAAUGAAUUAGAGUAGUGAAAAAGCGAAAGAGCCACCCUAGUUGCUGAAAAUCUUCAAAAACACGUACAUCGCAAAGGAGUAUCUUAAAAUAGCAGUCCUCAACCGAACUACAGACCAUAAACUCGAACCGGAAUCGCAACGGCGAACGACUCAACUUAGCCAGAUUCGAGAUAGUGACCUCGGGCUGGUUUUGCCUUGAUUUUGAGGUGAUGUUUUCAGUGGGAGUUGCAGUGGCUAGCUUCAAGGUGAAGUAAAGAAGACGAAGUUAAGGGGGGUCCGAUUUUUGAGUUGCGGCUAUUUCCAUUUCUGUUCCUAGGCGUCUCUUCGGUGUUUUUCAAAUGGAGAAGAUGACUGAUCUGCUUCUCAAGAUCCUUAGCUUUUUGUUAUGGUUGCUUUUUGGAGAAGACGGAAUCCGAAGAAAAAGAGCAAAGGAAAGCUGCGCUGGGGUAGGGGUGCUUGGAGAAGACGACGAGGGGGGGUCCUUUUUGGAGAAGACGUUAUUUUUUUUUUAUGUAUGUAUGUGUAUGGUCAUCAGAUUCUGGCGUGGUGAGGGUGGAUGGUUGCUGGAGUUUUUUAGGCGAGUUUGGUGAUAGUUUAUGGCUGUUGCUUCAUUUUUGAAGAAGACCUGAAACGCAGCUGCCGCUCUCUCUCUCUCUCGGCGUAUAUCUUCGAGCUUCAUGAAGAAGAAGAAGUGAUCAUGGUGGGCUGCUAGGGUUUGACGGAGAAGAUGACCGGGGGGUUAUGUCCAAAAGUUGCGCAGCUGCGCUGAUAUUCUUCCAGGCGUGUAUAUCUCUCGUGUAGUGUUUAUUAUUAUGUGUUAGGGUUUUUAGGUGGGGAAAUGGGUUUGGGUAUUAGGUUGGAUCGGGUCGACCCGGUUUGCGGUUGGGUAGGGGCUAAUUUGUGUGUGAUUUUAAAAUGGGAAAUUGUAUUGGGCUUAAAAAAAUAGAACUAGAUAUCAGCCCAAAAAUAUUAUUCUCAUCUUUAUUUUCAUAUUUCUCUAAAUUCGUUUAAGUUAAAAUUAAAAAUAAC